Molecule: long non-coding RNA, 932 nt
Organism: Panicum virgatum (switchgrass)
Lineage: Eukaryota; Viridiplantae; Streptophyta; Magnoliopsida; Poales; Poaceae
Exons: 2
Source: RefSeq, a predicted model, not a curated record
UCGCGUGAUCCUUGACACCUUGGCUGCAGCUGCAGGGAGCUCCUUGGGAAAUUCUCCAAUGGCACGCAAGGUAUCACCGGGGCUCAGCCGUCCCUGUUCCCGCGAGGGGAAAAUGAGCAGAAGGUCUCUCUGCAUCCGCGCUGUGCUAUCUGAAUGUCGCCAUCGCGCGCGCGGGAGAGUUUCUUGACGCCUCUACCGGAGCCCGGAGGUGGUCAGCUCACUGGAAUGCAAAUAUGCAAUACGCCAAUACAAGCUGUACAUGAAGUCUGAAAGGGAAGAGACAAUGGAACAGAAAUGACAAACAAUAAAGUUAAGGGAUCAGUGGCCUAAUAUGCUUGCCCAGAUGACAGAUGAGUGGUUUGGCUCAUUGCCUUGUUUGGUUAGAUUCUUUUUUCCUCAGAUUACUAUUUUAAUGUGCAUUAUUUGGUACAAACUAAAGAGAGGGAGCCAAUCAAAUCAUACUAUCUUUAUUUGGUUAGAUUCUUUUUUCCUCAGAUUACUUUUUUAAUGUGUAUGCUCCCUUUUUUCUGUAAAGCAUACUACUUCUAUACUCCUGAUACUCAACUCAGUUUUUUCUUUCUCAAAGAGCAUGUAGUGGCACUUUCAUUUCUUUUUCGUCAAUAAUACACAAGUACAAUCAUUAGGUUGCAACAUAAAUAAGUGCAAUUAUUUUUUAACUUGGCAGUACAAAAAGGCCAUUUAACUAUGACUUGACAUCACUAGAUGUGCAUUUUAAUUAAUAAUCAAACAAAACAACAAAGAAUGUGCCAUAAAUAUAUUUUGAACAGGACAUAUGGGCCAGCUAGCUAGACGAAACACCCAUUCAGCGGUGUGGUUGGGUCAUGCUACUGCGUGUCAUUGACCUGAUCAACUCCGAAUGUACCCAGGGACAAGCCUAGUUAAUAAAGCUCUCUCUUCACCCGCAAAAAAAA